Molecule: transfer RNA, 86 nt
Filed under: Candidatus Omnitrophota bacterium
Lineage: Bacteria; Pseudomonadati; Candidatus Omnitrophota
Description: Candidatus Omnitrophica bacterium tRNA-Leu
Rfam family: tRNA
About the family: Transfer RNA (tRNA) molecules are approximately 80 nucleotides in length. Their secondary structure includes four short double-helical elements and three loops (D, anti-codon, and T loops).
Source: RNAcentral
GCGCGGGUGGUGGAAUGGCAGACACGCAUGUUUGAGGGGCAUGUGGCAGCGAUGCUAUGAGGGUUCAACUCCCUCCCCGCGCACCA